AGCGAACGCUGGCGGCAGGCUUAACACAUGCAAGUCGAGCGGGCGUAGCAAUACGUCAGCGGCAGACGGGUGAGUAACGCGUGGGAACGUACCUUUUGGUUCGGAACAACUGAGGGAAACUUCAGCUAAUACCGGAUAAGCCCUUACGGGGAAAGAUUUAUCGCCGAAAGAUCGGCCCGCGUCUGAUUAGCUAGUUGGUGAGGUAACGGCUCACCAAGGCGACGAUCAGUAGCUGGUCUGAGAGGAUGAUCAGCCACAUUGGGACUGAGACACGGCCCAAACUCCUACGGGAGGCAGCAGUGGGGAAUAUUGGACAAUGGGCGAAAGCCUGAUCCAGCCAUGCCGCGUGAGUGAUGAAGGCCCUAGGGUUGUAAGCUCUUUGUGCGGGAAGAUAAUGACGGUACGCAAGAUAAAGCCCGGCUAACUUCGUGCCAGCAG
RNAcentral lists this ribosomal RNA (438 nucleotides) under uncultured bacterium. RNAcentral describes it as "bacterial SSU rRNA". It matches the Rfam family "Bacterial small subunit ribosomal RNA", at positions 29 to 514 of the family's 1533-position model. The record is from RNAcentral.